UCUUCCUGCUCGGCUGCUGCCGCCGCCGGCAGUGCCGGGGCUCAGGGGGAAGAGGAGCCUGAGGAGACCCCGAGCAAGGAGGAGAAGCAGGAGCCAGGCACGCCCAUGAGGAAGGCCGGGCGGCCCGGGAGGAAGCGCAAGCAUGCCCAGCAGGCGGAGAGCAGUGACACCCCUCCCAAGGGU
Long non-coding RNA from Camarhynchus parvulus, 183 nucleotides. RefSeq lists it as uncharacterized. The record is from RefSeq and is a predicted model, not a curated record. The transcript has 3 exons. Lineage: Eukaryota; Metazoa; Chordata; Aves; Passeriformes; Thraupidae.